CGGCGGACGGGUGAGUAACACGUGGAUAACCUACCUAUAAGACUGGGAUAACUUCGGUAAACCGGAGCUAAUACCGGAUAAUAUAUUGAACCGCAUGGUUCAAUAGUGAAAGACGGUUUUGCUGUCACUUAUAGAUGGAUCCGCGCCGCAUUAGCUAGUUGGUAAGGUAACGGCUUACCAAGGCAACGAUGCGUAGCCGACCUGAGAGGGUGAUCGGCCACACUGGAACUGAGACACGGUCCAGACUCCUACGGGAGGCAGCAGCC
RNAcentral lists this ribosomal RNA (266 nucleotides) under uncultured Staphylococcus sp. Its description in RNAcentral is "partial 16S ribosomal RNA". It matches the Rfam family "Bacterial small subunit ribosomal RNA", at positions 96 to 355 of the family's 1533-position model. Lineage: Bacteria; Bacillati; Bacillota; Bacilli; Caryophanales; Staphylococcaceae. The record is from RNAcentral.